GCGCAGCAGCGAGAAUCCUCCGCAAUACACGAAAGUGUGACGGGGCCAUCCCGAGUGCCGUCCGCUGAGGACGGCUUUUCCCCAAGUGUACACAGCUGGGGGAAUAAGGAGAGGGCAAGCCUGGUGUCAGCCGCCGCGGUAAUACCAGCUCUCCGAGUGGUGGGGACGCUUAUUGGGCCUAAAGCAUCCGUAGCCGGCUGGGCAAGUCCUCCGUUAAAUCCAACGAUUCAAUCGUUGGGCUGCGGGGGAUACUGUCCAGCUUGGGGGCGGGAGAGGCCGACGGUAUUCCCGGGGUAGGGGUGAAAAUCCUA
RNAcentral lists this ribosomal RNA (311 nucleotides) under uncultured microorganism. Its description in RNAcentral is "bacterial SSU rRNA". It matches the Rfam family "Archaeal small subunit ribosomal RNA", at positions 330 to 642 of the family's 1478-position model. The record is from RNAcentral.